ACGAACGUAGCGACAAGGUGAGUAAGUCCUUUGAUUGUCCCAAGAGAGUAACCAUUUGGUGAGAGGUUACGUCAAUCUGCGACUGAAUAUGGCCUUGAUGAUCGCUCCACAGCUGAGCAGUUGCAAAGUUGUGGCGGGAACUCCCGUUAUAGAGCAAGGGUAUGCACUAACUAGUAAGUACUUAAUUACCGUCGUUAGUUGUACCCAUCGAGGAAUAUCUCGUGAGGGGUAUUCGAACUAAGGUGGUAACGCGAAAGCAUUUUCGUCCUUUUC
This 273-nucleotide non-coding RNA is filed under the name Secundilactobacillus odoratitofui. Its description in RNAcentral is "Lactobacillus odoratitofui T-box sequence". It matches the Rfam family "T-box leader". From Rfam's summary of the family: Uncharged tRNA acts as the effector for transcription antitermination of genes in the T-box leader family. T-boxes are found upstream of many aminoacyl-tRNA synthetase genes and some amino acid biosynthetic genes usually in Gram-positive bacteria. Lineage: Bacteria; Bacillati; Bacillota; Bacilli; Lactobacillales; Lactobacillaceae. The record is from RNAcentral.